UCUUCACUUGUGCCUAGGAAAAACCAGUUUUUCUUUUUUGUCUAUUGCCAACAUCUACUCUAAAAGUUCCACUGAAUCUGGACUGCGCUCCAUGGCUCUGCUUCUCAGCUGCCCUUAGCCCCCUCCUCCACUCUGCUUCCCUCUGCUUUCCUACUCUCUGGGCAGGGAGAAUUGCGCUGCUGGGACAAACCCCCACCUGUCCCCAGGAGCUGCUUGCCCUGCGCAUGCCUGCUGCACUGGGUGCUCUGUGCAGUGAGUGUGAGCCUCUCUUCCUGUCCUCAGUCCUUGGGGGCAACAGAAGCCUGGAGAUUCUCUUCUUCCCCUCUCACAUUCAUGACUCUUUAGCCCUCUCUUUGCUCUGUAUUUUCAUUACAACAAUUUGUUCUUUUACAUCAAACGCAAAGCCAGGCCCUGACACCUGAAGGUUCAGAGAUGCAUAUGCACAGUGACACUGUCCUGUCUGCAGCUCUCAUCUGGAAGGGAAGGACCCCCCCCCAUGUGGGGCAAGGCUCUCUGCCCCCUGAACUGAGGAACCGAAGAAACCGGGCCACUGUGCAUACUGGGAGAGUAGGAGUGUGGUAAGAUGGAGAAAGCCCAGAGCCUGGCCAGGAGCAGUCUGCCGGGCAAGGUGGCAGCACGAAGAGCCAGCGAGCACGCUGUGAGCUGCCCAUCCAUCUUCCCGUUCAACCCCCACCCUUCUCUGUCUUGUAACCUCAUAGCAAAGCAUGGCUCACCAAGAGCACAACACAGAAAAUGUUUUCAUCAAAAUUCCCUGCAAGAGCAACAACAAAAAAUAAUAUUACCCUGCUUUCUGCA
Octodon degus (degu) is the source of this 816-nucleotide long non-coding RNA. RefSeq lists it as uncharacterized. The transcript has 3 exons. The record is from RefSeq and is a predicted model, not a curated record. Lineage: Eukaryota; Metazoa; Chordata; Mammalia; Rodentia; Octodontidae.